AAGCGCUUGCAAUCAGACUUGCACUGCGUCGAUCAACCUGGGUUUUCCCUGGUGCACUCGGCGUAGUUCAGGCCAGCAUCAGUUCUGGCGGUUGGAUAAAGGCUUGGAGAACGUGGGUUGCUUCGGCGACUGUUAUAGCUCCAGGUGCAAUGCAGCCAGCUGGGACUGAGGACCGCGCUUCGGCUAGGAUGCUGGCGUAAUGGUUGUAAGCGA
This 213-nucleotide ribosomal RNA is filed under the name Coccomyces sp. Its description in RNAcentral is "partial large subunit ribosomal RNA". The record is from RNAcentral. Lineage: Eukaryota; Fungi; Ascomycota; Leotiomycetes; Rhytismatales; Rhytismataceae.